Molecule: long non-coding RNA, 159 nt
Organism: Vitis riparia (riverbank grape)
Lineage: Eukaryota; Viridiplantae; Streptophyta; Magnoliopsida; Vitales; Vitaceae
Exons: 2
Source: RefSeq, a predicted model, not a curated record
CUUCCUUAUUUCCGGGUCUCUUGCCUGAGCAUUGUCGAUCCAGGUGAUUCUGAUAUCAUCAAGCAAAUGCCUAGUGACCACUGAGCUGACUGUUAGAUGGGUGCUGAGGUUUUAGAUUUCUCACAAACUAUAGGACAAUUUUGUUUUUUGGUACUACCA